GCCAGGCAUAGUGGCACACACCUGUAAUCCUAGCUGCUCGGGAGGCUGAGGCAGGAGGAUCAUGAGUUCAAAGCCAGCCUCAGUAAAAGCAAGUCGCUAAGCAACUCAGUGAUACCCUGUCUCUA
RNAcentral lists this small RNA (125 nucleotides) under Marmota monax (woodchuck). The record is from RNAcentral. Lineage: Eukaryota; Metazoa; Chordata; Mammalia; Rodentia; Sciuridae.